This 483-nucleotide ribosomal RNA is filed under the name uncultured bacterium. Its description in RNAcentral is "bacterial SSU rRNA". It matches the Rfam family "Bacterial small subunit ribosomal RNA", at positions 30 to 507 of the family's 1533-position model. The record is from RNAcentral.
AUUGAACGCUGGCGGCAUGCCUUACACAUGCAAGUCGAACGGCAGCACGGGAGCAAUCCUGGUGGCGAGUGGCGAACGGGUGAGUAAUAUAUCGGAACGUGCCCAGUCGUGGGGGAUAACGUAGCGAAAGCUACGCUAAUACCGCAUACGAUCUACGGAUGAAAGCGGGGGAUCGCAAGACCUCGCGCGAUUGGAGCGGCCGAUGUCGGAUUAGCUAGUUGGUGGGUAAAGGCCUACCAAGGCGACGAUCCGUAGCUGGUCUGAGAGGAUGAUCAGCCACACUGGAACUGAGACACGGUCCAGACUCCUACGGGAGGCAGCAGUGGGGAAUAUUGGACAAUGGGCGCAAGCCUGAUCCAGCAAUGCCGCGUGUGUGAAGAAGGCCUUCGGGUUGUAAAGCACUUUUAUCAGGAACGAAAAGCGUUGGAUUAAUACUCUGACGUGCUGACGGUACCUGAGGAAUAAGCACCGGCUAACUUCGUG